RNAcentral lists this long non-coding RNA (587 nucleotides) under Homo sapiens (human). Its description in RNAcentral is "non-protein coding STK24-AS1:6". Lineage: Eukaryota; Metazoa; Chordata; Mammalia; Primates; Hominidae. The record is from RNAcentral.
AGGCCGCAGCCGCCGCCUGUCGGCCCGGCCCGGGUCCCAGCUGCUCCUGCGGCGCUCCCACGCCCCCGCGGGCGGGCGGCGGGGCCGGGAGGGGGCCUCGGCUGGGGCGGGCGCCGGGAGGGACCGAGUCGGGGCCGGAGGCUGGCCGCGUGCCCACCGGGCCGGCGCCGGGGCGAGCCUGGGCCGCGGCCCCCUCUUCCCGCCAGCCAGCCCACCCCGCCCCGGCGGCCUCUGGGAAAACGCGUCCCGGGCGAGCCCCUGAGGGCAGGAUCGGAGUCGGGGGCACCUGGGGAAGGAGAGCGCCCCGUGGGGCCUCGGCCGGUGGCCUGUGCCAAAAGGCCGGGCAGAGCUGCUUCGGUGUCUGGGUGAAGUUUCCAGCCAACCCAAGAAGGAAACCGAAAGGGAAGAGGCCGAGAGAGAGCGCAGCCCAGGAAUUCUACCUAAAGUAACAUAUCCUAAGGCAACAACCAAGAAGUGUGGAAGAAUGCAUGUAAGAAGACACAGUGAUGUUUAGAAUCCUGGGGAAACGGAACAGCCAAAAAGUCUCACAGAGGUUAAGUAAAUAAUAGCAUUUUCAUACGAGUACU